Molecule: ribosomal RNA, 467 nt
Filed under: uncultured bacterium
Lineage: Bacteria
Description: partial 16S ribosomal RNA
Rfam family: Bacterial small subunit ribosomal RNA
Source: RNAcentral
GACGAACGCUGGCGGCGUGCUUAACACAUGCAAGUCGAACGGAAAGGCUCCAGCUUGCUGGAGUGCUCGAGUGGCGAACGGGUGAGUAACACGUGGGCAAUCUGCCCUGCACUCUGGGAUAAGCCUGGGAAACUGGGUCUAAUACCGGAUAGGACCUUUCUCCUCAUGGGGUUUGGUGGAAAGUUUUUCGGUGCAGGAUGAGCCCGCGGCCUAUCAGCUUGUUGGUGGGGUAAUGGCCUACCAAGGCGACGACGGGGAGCCGGCCUGAGAGGGGGAUCGGCCACAUUGGGGCUGGGAUACCGCCCAGACUCCUUCGGGGGGCAGCAGUGGGGAAUAUUGCACAAUGGGCGAAAGCCUGAUGCAGCGACGCCGCGUGAGGGAUGACGGCCUUCGGGUUGUAAACCUCUUUCAGUAGGGACGAAGCGCAAGUGACGGUACCUGCAGAAGAAGCACCGGCUAACUACGUG